This 273-nucleotide unclassified non-coding RNA is filed under the name Hevea brasiliensis (rubber tree). Lineage: Eukaryota; Viridiplantae; Streptophyta; Magnoliopsida; Malpighiales; Euphorbiaceae. The record is from RNAcentral.
UGGCCAAGCUGGAGGCGAUUAGAGAGAAUGAGGUCAGUGUCGCGUUCAGAGAGGGAAACGUAGGUGGAGUUGAGAGAAUCAGAGAGCUGUACGUAGAAGCCAUGGUUAGGCCACAGAUCGGAUCCAGCGAGUGCGGGGACUAUGCCGAUGACUUGGAGGAGAGCAAAGCGGUGUUCUCCGGUGACACGGGCGGUGGAGUUCAUGGACUGAAGCAGCUUGAGGAGGAUUCCUGGAGUGAGAGAAGCCAUCGAGAGAGAGAGAGAGAGAGAGAGA